GACGAACCGUGCGAACGUUGUUCGGAAUCACUGGGCUUAAAGGGCGCGUAGGCGGCCACACAAGUCCGGGGUGAAAUCUUUCGGCUCAACCGGAAAAGUGCCUCUGAUACUGUGUGGCUCGAGGGAGGUAGGGGCGGACGGAACUUCCGGUGGAGCGGUGAAAUGCGUUGAUAUCGGAAGGAACGCCGGUGGCGAAAGCGGUCCGCUGGCCCUCUUCUGACGCUGAGGCGCGAAAGCCAGGGGAGCAAACGGG
RNAcentral lists this ribosomal RNA (253 nucleotides) under uncultured bacterium. RNAcentral describes it as "partial 16S ribosomal RNA". It matches the Rfam family "Bacterial small subunit ribosomal RNA", at positions 524 to 776 of the family's 1533-position model. The record is from RNAcentral.